Elaeis guineensis (African oil palm) is the source of this 2393-nucleotide RNA transcript. It is a transcript of the gene named heat stress transcription factor A-1, with no coding region annotated. The record is from RefSeq and is a predicted model, not a curated record. Lineage: Eukaryota; Viridiplantae; Streptophyta; Magnoliopsida; Arecales; Arecaceae.
CCCAGGCUACCCGCGAAAGCUCUCCCCCAACUCCUCGGUAUCUCCUCUCCCCUCUCCCCUCUUCAAGUAGGGUUAGGGUUCGUCCUUCCGGUUGAAUCCAGUCGAAUCUAAACCAUCGCUCCUUCGAUCUCUUCUUCUUCCGGAGAGCAGAAAUGGAGGUCGAAAAGGGCGGCGGUGGCGGGAGCUCGCUGGUCCCGGUCGUGCCGCCCUUCUUGAGCAAGUGCUACGAGAUGGUGGACGAUCCGCAGACGGACGGGACGGUGUCCUGGAGCAAGACCAACAACAGCUUCGUGAUCUGGGACCCGGCAUCCUUCUGCCGGGACCUCCUCCCCAAGUACUUCAAACACAGCAACCUCUCUAGCUUCGUUCGCCAGCUUAACACCUACGGUUUCCGAAAGGUCGAUCCUGAUAGAUAUGAAUUUGCAAAUGAGGGAUUUCUGAGGGGCCAGAAGGAUUUGCUGAAGACUAUCAUAAGGAAGAAGCCUUCCCAUAAUUCUGGUCAACAGCAUCAGUCCGAUGGGAGAAAUUCAUCUGUAAAUGCAUGCGUUGAGGUUGGAAAAUUUGGGCCAAAGGAAGAAAUUGAAAUGCUUAAGAGGGACAAGAAUGUCCUCAUGCAGGAGCUGGUAAAACUCAGGCAGCAUCAGCAAAACACUGACCAUGAACUUGUUAUUUUGAGACAACGUGUACAAGGUAUGGAACAGCACCAGCAACAAAUGAUGUCAUUUUUGGCCAUGGUGGUCAAGAGUCCUGGAUUUUUGGCCCAACUAAUGCAGCAGAGUGGGAAUAAUAGGUGGACUGAGGCAAAUAAAAAAAGAAGGCUUCCUGCCCUGGAACAGGGUGUUGUUGGUGGUUCCCAGACUUCAUCUGAUGGGCAGAUUAUCAGAUACCAGCCUUUUGUGCCUGAAACCCUGAGGCCAUCUAUGUCGCCAGUGCCAAAUGCUGAUGUGUCACCCGAUUUACAGCACAUGUCGAAUGGAGUCAAUGAUUUGUGCACAAAUGGGGAUGUCAUGUCACUUGGGGCUAACUCAUCUUUGCCUCCAGGAGGGGAUCUUCCUCCGAUGGAAUAUUUUGAACGACUUUUAGCGAGCUCAAUAUCAGAGAAUGAUGGCCAGACCGAACCUUGGUCCCCAGAGGUUCCAGAUUUUAUGUGGGAUUUUGUUUUACCGGAGCAGGAAUUUCAGAUGGAAACAUCACAAAACAUGGUUCUCCCGAGUGAACAGGUGGGAGGGAAUCAUCAAGCAUCUGCAAAAGAUGACAGGCACAACAUUUCUUAAUAUGAAAGCAAGAUGAAUGGAGAAGAUAUGGUAGAGGGAUUGAUGGUGCUCAUGUUCUGGUGGAUAAACUGGUUACCAUGGAAAGACAGAUAUUGGUGUAGCGGGGCUCUAGAAUCUUUGGACCAGGCAGAGAGCAAAAACUUCUGAAGCAUCGGAUCAUAAUUUGACAUGUAUUAAACGCUCAGUGAAAGUUGAAUUUACUAGGCAUCAUUAUUGUUGGGUGCUGGAAGGUGUUAAGUUAGUGCUUGACAUGUGGUCGAUUGCUAUUGGAGGCUGAAUUACAGAUCAUGACCUGAUACCAGCUCAUUUUCCAUUGAAGGCCAAAUUUGGUAUGUCUUGAUCAUAUGAGGUUGAAAUGCCCUGGCUGUUGAUUGCGUGAAGUGCCAAGCGGACUUUGGUACAUUGGAAUGAAAUUUUGCUACUGAAGUCCACUGAUUUUACAUGAUCAAAAAGUUCAUUUUACAUUGUUAUUUAAUUGGUGGUGGUUCCCUUUUUUUCUGGAAGAAGCAGUUCUGAAUUUUCAGUUAGUUCUUCUCUGGAACGGUUGAAUAAUUUAUCGCCUCAAGUUAUAUUAUUUUAUACUGUCAACAUUUUACUUGGGGCAAACUUAUGAUUGAAUAACUUUCAUAUUCAAGUAGAAAAUCAUAGCUGCCAUAAAAUGCUCCAUGCAUGCUUCUGUUCUGGUGAUGUUGGCCAGAUGAUACUAAAACAGUCGAUGUUGGUCCGCAGCCCACACGAGAAAGGUGCAGGGUUUAGAGCUGUGUGGACGGUGAGUCACUAAAGCACCAAUGUUUUUGAACCGAAGGUAAUUCAUGAUAAACUUGAUUAAUGCCUACUACAGCGGCAACCCAUGCAAGGAGCCUUUAGAGUCCAAGCAUUCUACUUGACAGAGCUGCUGAAUCACAUCGGACCAGUUAUCGGUGAAAAAACCGAGUUCAAAAAAUAACACGGGCAAUCAAAGUAUGAAACUUUGUAUAACGAAAAACCUAUUCAGAUGCUUGGUUUUUUGUUGGUUUUAAAAUUUUUCUGUAGAGUUGGGGACCUGUUAUAUCUUCACAUUCAAAUUCUGUACCUUCCAAUUCUUUCUCCACCAUUUAAUUCAUUUAUUGAUAUUUUUGA